This 460-nucleotide ribosomal RNA is filed under the name uncultured bacterium. Its description in RNAcentral is "partial 16S ribosomal RNA". It matches the Rfam family "Bacterial small subunit ribosomal RNA", at positions 338 to 795 of the family's 1533-position model. The record is from RNAcentral.
CCUACGGGGGGCAGCAGUGAGGAAUAUUGGUCAAUGGACGAGAGUCUGAACCAGCCAAGUAGCGUGAAGGAUGACUGCCCUAUGGGUUGUAAACUUCUUUUAUAAAGGAAUAAAACGAGGCACGUGUGCCUUUUUGCAUGUACUUUAUGAAUAAGGAUCGGCUAACUCCGUGCCAGCAGCCGCGGUAAUACGGAGGAUCCGAGCGUUAUCCGGAUUUAUUGGGGUUAAAGGGAGCGUAGAUGGGUUGUUAAGUCAGUUGUGAAAGUUUGCGGCUCAACCGUAAAAUUGCAAUUGAUACUGGCAUUCUUGAGUACAGUUGAGGUAGGCGGAAUUCGUGGUGUAGCGGUGAAAUGCGUAGAUAUCACGAAGAACCCUGAUUGCGAAGGCAGCUUACUAAACUGUGACUGACAUUGAUGCUCGAAAGUGUGGGUAUCAAACAGGAUUAGAUACCCGAGUAGUC